RNAcentral lists this ribosomal RNA (474 nucleotides) under uncultured Actinomycetes bacterium. RNAcentral's name for it is "bacterial SSU rRNA". It matches the Rfam family "Bacterial small subunit ribosomal RNA", at positions 30 to 527 of the family's 1533-position model. Lineage: Bacteria; Bacillati; Actinomycetota; Actinomycetes. The record is from RNAcentral.
CGAACGCUGGCGGCGUGCUUUACACUUGCAAGUCGAGCGAUGAGAUCCCUUCGGGGAAGGAUUAGCGGCGAACGGGUGAGGAACACGUGAGGAAUCUGCCUUCAACACUGGGAUAACUCCGGGAAACCGGGGCUAAUACCGGAUACGAGACCUGCAGGCAUCUGCGGGUCUGGAAAGUUUUUCGGUUGAAGAUGACCUCGCGGCCUAUCAGCUUGUUGGUGAGGUAAUGGCUCACCAAGGCGACGACGGGUAGCCGGCCUGAGAGGGCGACCGGCCACACUGGGACUGAGACACGGCCCAGACUCCUACGGGAGGCAGCAGUGGGGAAUAUUGGGCAAUGGAGGGAACUCUGACCCAGCGACGCCGCGUGCGGGAUGAAGGCCUUCGGUUGUAACCGCUUCAGCAGGAGAAGCGAAGUGACGGUACUUGCAGAGAAGCACCGGCUAACUAUGUGCCAGCAGCCGCGGUAAGUCU